Molecule: long non-coding RNA, 204 nt
Filed under: Mytilus galloprovincialis (Mediterranean mussel)
Lineage: Eukaryota; Metazoa; Mollusca; Bivalvia; Mytilida; Mytilidae
Source: RNAcentral
CCCCAGUGUGUUAUAUAUAGAUAAAGUCAAUGAACUUUAAGCACGUGUAACUGUUAUAAUGUCAAUCAAGAUAAGAUAGGCGGAGUCUCUAUAAACGUAAACAUUGACCAGAUGAUAUAGCAAUAUCAUUACAACCCCCUCUUGAGACAAGCAAUUAAUUUAACACAGUUCAUUAAGUCACAUUGAAAGUCUAGCCAGUUUGUG